RNAcentral lists this ribosomal RNA (468 nucleotides) under uncultured bacterium. Its description in RNAcentral is "partial 16S ribosomal RNA". It matches the Rfam family "Bacterial small subunit ribosomal RNA", at positions 28 to 507 of the family's 1533-position model. The record is from RNAcentral.
GACGAACGCUGGCGGCGUGCUUAACACAUGCAAGUCGAACGGAAAGGCCCUGCUUUUGUGGGGUGCUCGAGUGGCGAACGGGUGAGUAACACGUGAGUAACCUGCCCUUGACUUUGGGAUAACUUCAGGAAACUGGGGCUAAUACCGGAUAGGAGCUCCUGCUGCAUGGUGGGGGUUGGAAAGUUUCGGCGGUUGGGGAUGGACUCGCGGCUUAUCAGCUUGUUGGUGGGGUAGUGGCUUACCAAGGCUUUGACGGGUAGCCGGCCUGAGAGGGUGACCGGCCACAUUGGGACUGAGAUACGGCCCAGACUCCUACGGGAGGCAGCAGUGGGGAAUAUUGCACAAUGGGCGGAAGCCUGAUGCAGCAACGCCGCGUGCGGGAUGACGGCCUUCGGGUUGUAAACUCCUUUCACCAUCGACGAAGGGUUUCUGACGGUAGAUGGAGAAGAAGCACCGGCUAACUACGUG